RNAcentral lists this transfer RNA (75 nucleotides) under Pseudonocardiales bacterium. RNAcentral's name for it is "tRNA-Val". It matches the Rfam family "tRNA". Rfam says of the family: Transfer RNA (tRNA) molecules are approximately 80 nucleotides in length. Their secondary structure includes four short double-helical elements and three loops (D, anti-codon, and T loops). The record is from RNAcentral. Lineage: Bacteria; Bacillati; Actinomycetota; Actinomycetes; Pseudonocardiales.
GGGUGAUUAGCUCAGCGGGAGAGCGCUCCGUUCACACCGGAGAGGUCACUGGUUCGAUCCCAGUAUCGCCCACCA